This 334-nucleotide unclassified non-coding RNA is filed under the name soil metagenome. RNAcentral's name for it is "partial contains 5.8S ribosomal RNA, internal transcribed spacer 2, and large subunit ribosomal RNA". The stretch from base 1 to 120 matches the Rfam family "5.8S ribosomal RNA", at positions 35 to 154 of the family's 154-position model. The record is from RNAcentral.
GAUGAAGAACGUAGCGAAAUGCGAUACGUAAUGUGAAUUGCAGAAUUCAGUGAAUCAUCGAAUCUUUGAACGCACAUUGCGCCUGCCAGCACUCUGGCAGGCAUGCCUGUUCGAGCAUCAUUUCAACCAUCAAGCCCUAGGCUUGCGUUGGAGCCCUGCGGCUGCCGCAGGCCCCUAAAAGCAGUGGCGGGCUCGCUAUCACACCGAGUGCAGUAGAUUACUCUUCGCUCAGGGCGUGUGGCGGGUUCCAGCCGUGAAACCCCCUACUUCUCAAGGUUGACCUCGGAUCAGGUAGGAAUACCCGCUGAACUUAAGCAUAUCAAUAAGCGGAGGA